Molecule: small RNA, 559 nt
Filed under: Pan troglodytes (chimpanzee)
Lineage: Eukaryota; Metazoa; Chordata; Mammalia; Primates; Hominidae
Description: processed transcript
Source: RNAcentral
ACUGUGCUUUAGUUGAAAAGGGUUUUGUGACUUUUCCACUCGAUUGCCGCCAAGCGGGCUAUUACGCCGCUUCUGACCCCACCGUGGAGACGCGGAGACGAGAGUGACCAUGCCUUCUUCGGAGCGAGCUGUCUCCAUCAUCCGCUAACGCGCCACCUUUAAAAAACAGGCACAACGCGCAAGCGACAAAGUCAGAGGCAGAGAGCGGCGGAGCACAUGAUAGAAGAGGUCGAGAGGCACAUUCAGCGCCAGGUCUGAGCAGAGGGCGGGGUGCAGGCGGAAUGGCCCUCGUGCCCUAUGAGGAGACCACGGAAUUUGGGUUGCAGAAAUUCCACAAGCCUCUUGCAACUUUUUCCUUUGCAAACCACACGAUCCAGAUCCGGCAGGACUGGAGACACCUGGGAGUCGCAGCGGUGGUUUGGGAUGCGGCCAUCGUUCUUUCCACGUAUCUGGAGAUGGGAGCUGUGGAGCUCAGGGGCCGCUCUGCCGUGGAGCUGGGUGCUGGCACGGGGCUGGUGGGCAUAGUGGCUGCCCUGCUGGACGGAGUCUCACUCUGUUG